UUCAAGACCAAGGUCUGAAAUGUGCUAACCC
RNAcentral lists this non-coding RNA (31 nucleotides) under Mus musculus (house mouse). The record is from RNAcentral. Lineage: Eukaryota; Metazoa; Chordata; Mammalia; Rodentia; Muridae.